This 872-nucleotide ribosomal RNA is filed under the name Ramularia kriegeriana. RNAcentral's name for it is "eukaryotic LSU rRNA". It matches the Rfam family "Eukaryotic large subunit ribosomal RNA", at positions 40 to 943 of the family's 3401-position model. Lineage: Eukaryota; Fungi; Ascomycota; Dothideomycetes; Mycosphaerellales; Mycosphaerellaceae. The record is from RNAcentral.
AUAUCAAUAAGCGGAGGAAAAGAAACCAACAGGGAUUGCCCUAGUAACGGCGAGUGAAGCGGCAACAGCUCAAAUUUGAAAUCUGGCGCAAGCCCGAGUUGUAAUUUGUAGAGGAUGCUUCUAGGUAGCGACCGGUCUAAGUUCCUUGGAACAGGACGUCAUAGAGGGUGAGAAUCCCGUAUGUGACCGGCCCGCACCUUCUACGUAGCUCCUUCGACGAGUCGAGUUGUUUGGGAAUGCAGCUCUAAAUGGGAGGUAAAUUUCUUCUAAAGCUAAAUACCGGCCAGAGACCGAUAGCGCACAAGUAGAGUGAUCGAAAGAUGAAAAGCACUUUGGAAAGAGAGUUAAAAAGCACGUGAAAUUGUUGAAAGGGAAGCGCUUACAACCAGACUUCUGGGCGGUGUUCCGCCGGUCUUCUGACCGGUCUACUCGCCGUCCCGAGGCCAACAUCAUCUGGGACCGCCGGAUAAGACCUCAGGAAUGUAGCUCCCCUCGGGGAGUGUUAUAGCCUGUGGUGAUGCGGCGCGUCUCGGGUGAGGUCCGCGCUUCGGCAAGGAUGUUGGCGUAAUGGUUGUCAGCGGCCCGUCUUGAAACACGGACCAAGGAGUCUAACAUCUAUGCGAGUGUUCGGGUGUCAAACCCCUACGCGUAAUGAAAGUGAACGGAGGUGGGAAGGGUAACCUGCACCAUCGACCGAUCCUGAUGUCCUCGGAUGGAUUUGAGUAAGAGCAUAGCUGUUGGGACCCGAAAGAUGGUGAACUAUGCCUGAAUAGGGUGAAGCCAGAGGAAACUCUGGUGGAGGCUCGCAGCGGUUCUGACGUGCAAAUCGAUCGUCAAAUUUGGGUAUAGGGGCGAAAGACUAAUCGAACCAU